RNAcentral lists this ribosomal RNA (533 nucleotides) under Pinnularia viridiformis. RNAcentral's name for it is "eukaryotic LSU rRNA". It matches the Rfam family "Eukaryotic large subunit ribosomal RNA", at positions 43 to 571 of the family's 3401-position model. The record is from RNAcentral. Lineage: Eukaryota; Bacillariophyta; Bacillariophyceae; Sellaphorales; Pinnulariaceae.
UAACUAAGCAGAGGAAAAGAAACUAACCAGGAUUGACUUAGUAAGGGCGACUGAAGCGUCAAUAGUUCACCAUGUGAAUCUGCACUCUUGGGUGCCGAAUUGUGGUCUGGAGAUUCUUGCAUUCUAGGGCUGGGCCAAGUCCCUUGGAACGGGGCAGCUAAGAGGGUGAGACUCCCAUCUGUCUGGUUUUGGGAGCAAGGAUCAUGGAGUCGAGUUGUUUGGGAUUUCAGCUCCAAGAGGGUGGUAAAUUCCAUCGAAAGCUAAAUAUUGGUAGAAGACCGAUAGCAAACAAGUACCGUGAGGGAAAGAUGCAAAGAACUUUGAAAAGAGAGUUAAAGAGUACCUGAAAUUGCUGAAAAGGAAGCGAAGGAAACCAGUGAUAGUUGAGCCAUAUUUCCCUGUUCGCUUGCGGUUGGGGCGCUGUGGCCAGCAUAGUCCACAUUGAUUGGCUCAAAUGGAUGCACAUUGAGGAAAGCUGUCCUUGUUUGUUUGCACUUGAUUUGAUUGAUGGGUCUAAAUGUUUUCUUUUCCCC